This 23-nucleotide non-coding RNA is filed under the name Cricetulus griseus (Chinese hamster). Lineage: Eukaryota; Metazoa; Chordata; Mammalia; Rodentia; Cricetidae. The record is from RNAcentral.
GCAUGGGAUAGUGAUUGUCAGAA